CAUGCUUGAUUAAAUUCUGAUCAAGGAGGUUCUGGAAAGUAGAAGCCUCCUGUGAUACCGCACACAGGUGACAGGAGAGGUUAAAUCGUCCCCACCUGGCAGAGCACCCACUAGAGGCAAACUAGAGAGCUUACGGUCAAGGUUUUAUGAAGCUGAGAGGUGGGUGACAGUGAGUGCUACCACCUCUGUGUGUAUGUGGCAGAUCGUAUUUUGGCCAGGAACAAGCAGCUUCUCCUGCAAUGCAAUGCACCCAUUCCAUUAGUAGCAAUAUGGGAGACUGAAAGAAUUCAGUUUGCACCUCAGCCCAGCUGGAGAAGAAAACACCGGCAUUUCUGCAGGAGCAACCACUGUGAAAGUAAGCUGGGACUUCAAAAAAUUUUUUUUCUGUGCGAUACUUUUCAGAGCAGAGAACAAGUGCAAGCCUUCCACUGUCUUUUAUUUUUAUGCCAAGAAUACAGAGACCCUCAAGUGCCUGAUUUCUGGCAACUAGUACAUGUGUGGGCG
RNAcentral lists this long non-coding RNA (504 nucleotides) under Anser cygnoides (Swan goose). RNAcentral describes it as "lncRNA (ENSACDG00005009740.1)". The record is from RNAcentral. Lineage: Eukaryota; Metazoa; Chordata; Aves; Anseriformes; Anatidae.